This 75-nucleotide transfer RNA is filed under the name Microcaldota archaeon. Its description in RNAcentral is "tRNA-Val". It matches the Rfam family "tRNA". Rfam says of the family: Transfer RNA (tRNA) molecules are approximately 80 nucleotides in length. Their secondary structure includes four short double-helical elements and three loops (D, anti-codon, and T loops). Lineage: Archaea; Nanobdellati; Microcaldota. The record is from RNAcentral.
GGAACCGUAGCUCAGUGGUAGAGCGUCCGGUUUACAUCCGGUAGGUCGGAGGUUCAAGUCCUCCCGGUUCCACCA